Molecule: transfer RNA, 76 nt
Filed under: Gammaproteobacteria bacterium
Lineage: Bacteria; Pseudomonadati; Pseudomonadota; Gammaproteobacteria
Also listed under: 2 other names
Description: tRNA-Thr
Rfam family: tRNA
About the family: Transfer RNA (tRNA) molecules are approximately 80 nucleotides in length.
Source: RNAcentral
GCCGCUAUAGCUCAGUUGGUAGAGCAACGCACUUGUAAUGCGUAGGUCCGGAGUUCGAAUCCUCGUGGCGGCACCA